Molecule: long non-coding RNA, 344 nt
Filed under: Felis catus (domestic cat)
Lineage: Eukaryota; Metazoa; Chordata; Mammalia; Carnivora; Felidae
Description: lncRNA (ENSFCAG00000040835.2)
Source: RNAcentral
CUUGUUUUUUCACGUGUAGAAUACAGAUCAACUCCCUGUUUCCUUGAUGAAUUUGAGGUCAUUCCGUAAGUGAAAAAAUCAACAAGUGAAUAAAUACAGACAGAGAGCUGCUCCUUGCCAAUGUUCCACUCAGGUUCCCAUCCAGCCAACCUUCAUUCAUUCAAUAGCAGUUGAGCUCCUCACAGAGACUUUGUGUCAUGUUGUGAAUGCAACAUGUUCGACAGCAUUCCUGCCGAGGAAAUAUCUCCUACGAUGGGUAAGCAAAUAUCAUCUUUCAUUAAAAAACAUCAGAAAAAUUUCAUCUGAAACUUCUGAACAGCCAGGGGGAGGAACACUCCUAAUGA